AUACAUUUACACUAUUUUUAGGUUGUAGAAUGUAUUGAUGGUAAAACAUUGAUCUUCUUUUUCUUCGGAAUUUCUCGCGGUAUUUUUAAGCGGCAAUUCAAAUUUGAUUAAUUUUUUUUAUCUCUCCUUUAAUUUAUAUUAUAAAGUUACUUGAUAAAUUACUAGUUAAAUUUGUAAUUCAUAUUAUUUUAAGAAAAUGAUAAACAAAAAUAGGAUUUUACGAAAAAUAUAAUUAUUAAAUAUUCGUGCGCUCUGUAGUUUUCGGUGUCCAGGUGUAAAUACUGUUCGAAGACGUUGUCUAGGUGUACCGGGUGGCUCAUGACGAGGUCAUGGGAGUGCGCUCCGUAGUUUUAGAUAUCUAGGUGUAAAUACUUGACCAGGACAGCGUCUAGGCGUAUAGGAUAGCCGAUGACGAGGUCUAUGUGGUGCGCUCCGUAGUUUUCUGUGUCCAGGUGUAAAUACUGAUCAAAGACAGUGUCUAGGUGUACAGGGUGGCCGAUGACGAGGUCUAUGUGGUGCGCUCCGUAGUUUUCUGAGUCCAGGUAUAAAUACUGAUCAAAGACAGUGUCUAGGUGUACAGGGUGGCCGAUGACGAGGUCUAGGUGGUGCGCUCGAUAGUUUUCGGUGUCCAGGUAUAAAUACUGAUCAAAGACAGUGUCUAGGUGUACAGGGUGGCCGAUAACGAGGUCUAGGUGGUGCGCUCCAUAGUUUUCGGUGUCCAGGUGUGAAUAAUGAUCGAAGAUGGUGUCUAGGUGUACAGAGUAGCCGACGACGAGGUCUAGCUGGUGCGCUCCGUUGUUUUCGGAGUAAAUACAAGACUGUAACAGGGUCUAAGUGUUCAGGGUGGCUGAUCACGAGGUUCAGGUUAUGAGUUCCAUUUUUUUCUUUUCUUUUUUUUUGUUCUAGUAUAAAAACAAGUCAAGGUAAAAAUUCGAGAAUGUUGACAUUUGAAUACUAAACUAUACAAACCCACUUAUACUUGCCAAAAUUUCACUUUUUUUGAAAGGUUAAUUUUUAGAUAGAAAAUAUACUUUCACAAAAGUAAAUAAAAGUUUGAUGUUUUUUUAAAUUUUAUCCCAACCCUGGCUUGACUUCUUAAUUCAUGUAGAUUGUUCAUUUAAGUCGUUUCAAAAUAAAAUAAAUAAAUAUUUGAUGGAUUCGAAUGGAUUUAUUUAAGUGAGAUCAUUCACAUUUUUUUGUAACGUUAGAGAUAUUUACUGUUGGAGAUAUACAAAAUAUUAAACUGAAGUUUUUAAAAUCUCAGUAGUUUACAAUUAGCAGAAUACAGUACUAGAACUCGGAUUUAGGAAAAUAAAUUUUAAUAAAUUUAUUAAUUGGAAUAAAUACAACUUAUUUAAUAUAAAUAUUAUAUUAGAAUACAAAAUAGUAUAUUAUGGAAAUAAGGGAGUUGGGGCAGGGGAUUCUUGGCUAGGGUGACGAAUGUAUUACUCUUCCUGCUGUUUCAUAAUAGAUUGUUUAUUACGUUACUGAGUUUUACUAUUUACUAAGUUUUCCAAAAUUCCUCAAUAUCCCGAUUUUCCUAAAUAUUCCGAAUACCUUUAAGAGUGCUCUACAAUCUUAAACCACCAAUGAGAACACAAGAUUUGUCUCGACAAAUUACGGCUUUAUUUAAUAACAAAUUAUAAAUCCGUAAUUUGUCGAGAAAAAUCUCGUGUUCUCAUUGGUCGUUCAGGAUUGCAGAGCACUCUUAAUCUUAAAUGUAAGAAAAUAGCAUUCUCCUAUAUAAAAAUGUUUUCAGCAAUCUUACUUUAACUCGAUAUGGAUGGAUUACGAUGUUUUCUAUGCCAAUAUCAAUUAAUUCCUGGUGGAUUAAAAGAUUUUACACAACAUUUUACUAUGUAUCAUAGUAUUAAUGUUACCAAAGGAAUACCUGAUACUGGAUUCAUAUGUGGGCAAAAUGGUUGUCAGAGCAAUUUUGUUCAUUUUCGUAACUUAAGACGUCACAUAUUAAAUAACCACUUGGCUGAAGCAAAUUUGGCAACAGCUGCUGCCGAUGACGAAGUCAAUGCAGUUGAAAUGAAUGAAAAUAUGGAAUAUGACAAUAACGAUAUAUUAGAGCAUCAUGAAAUGGAAGCUGAAGCAUUCAAUAAUAUGGCUAGGGAUAUUGUAAAUGCCCCUUUAGAUUUGCGAUCUUACAUUCUUAAAAUGAUUUGUAAAUUGCAUAGUGAUACCUCUAUGACAGGAUCUGCUAUAACGAGAUUUCUAAACCAUAGUGAAAAUUUGCUUUCAAUCUACUCAAAUUCAUUAAAAGAUGAAAUAAAUGCUCAACUGGUUCAACAUCUAGUAAAUAAUGAAAUUAUUAGAGACGUUAAUAAGGUUUUUGAUAACGAAAAUCCAUUUCUAGAUUUAAAAACAUUUGAACAGCAAAUGAAGGCACUGAAUGAAAAUAGUGACUACAUUGAUCCAAUCGAAAUUCCUUUGGGUCGACGUGUGGAUUCCAGAUUAAAUAAAACAACUCUAUCGUAUGUAUCAAAAGAGGUCGUAGAAUCUUAUCAAUAUGUUCCUGUAAUAAAGGUUUUAAAAAUGGUUUUAAGCAAUCAAGAAGUUAGGUUAAUUAUCGAUAAUGAGCAGCCAUCUUCUGAUGGUAGUUUGGAGUCAUUUAUAGACGGGAAUCAUUUUAAGAAUCAUGUUUUCUUUCAAAAGUACAAAAAAGCUUUAAGAUUAAAAUUAUAUUACGAUGAGAAAGAACUUGUUGGUCCCUUAGGUUCUAAAACGGGUGUUCAUAAGGUUGGAGUUUUUUACUACCAAAUUUCAAAUUUACCUGCUCAUAUGAAUUCUGCGUUAAACAGUAUUCAUGUUUUGAUAGUAGCUCAUCACGUUGAUGUCCAAAAGUAUGGCUUCGAGAAAAUUCUUUCUCAUUUUAUGAAAGAGUUAGCCCAAUUAGAAAGUGAUGCGGGAAUAACUUUGAAGUUUGGAGAUGAAAAUUUUAUUCUUCGAGCUUCCAUUGAAAGUUUUUGUGGAGAUGCACUAGCCCUUCAUGACGUUUUCAACUUAUUGAGUCCUUCAGCAAAUUUAUUUUGUUCAUUGUGUUUGUAUAAUCGACAAAAUCUACACAAUUGUUCUUUUGAAAAAUCUCAAGUUCGUACUAAAAAUGUAUAUGAUCAGCAUUUGGAAUUACUGAAAAGUACAAAUUUCUCUGAUGAUUCAAAGACAGCAACGGGCAUGAAAGGUGACUGCUGCUUGAAUAAAUCUUUAUAUUUUCAUAUUACAAACAACAAAGUAUUUGACAUUAUGCAUGACUUUUUAUGCGGUAUAUGUCCAAUAAUUUGUAAAUUAGUUCUCCAUGAAUAUGUAUGUGCCCAAAAACGAUUUGAUAUUCCUUUUUUAAAUAAUCGCAUACAUUUGUUUAAUUAUGGUUAUCUUGAAGUUAAAAAUAAACCUUCAGCAACUUUCACCGAAGAUAUACUCAAGAGAAAGGAUCAUACACUUAAACAGAAAGCUAUGCAAAUAUGGUUGUUGACUAGAGCUUUGCCAUUUCUACUCGCAGGAAAGAUUGAAGAAGGAGAUGAACACAUGUAUCUAAUAAUUCUGUUACUUCGAAUAAUGGAAAUUAUUUUUUCACCAAAAUUACAAAAACCUUUGCUUUCUCUUUAUGAUAAUCUAUAAUAAUCAAUAAUCUACUUCAGGAAUUCGUAGAAUGCUUUAAAAAUUUAUUUCCAAAUGUUAAUAUCAUCAACAAAUUUCAUCACGCAAUGCAUUAUUCUGAAUGUGUUCUUUGGUCUGGACCUCUUGUUCACUUUUACUGCAUGAGGUUUGAAGGAAAACAUAACGAAUUGGCCAAGCGAGCUCAAGCUGUAAAUAAUUUUAAAAACAUACCAAAAACUAUAAUUCGAGUAUCACAAUGUAUUCAAUGUGAAAAGUGGAGUUCAGGAAAUGUUAAAAUAAACCAUCAUGAAGUAGUAACUGGUAAAACAAAAUUUGUUUGCAGUACAUUAAGUAGACAGUAUCUUCUUCGACUUGGUUUUGAAGGUAAUAAUUUUGUAUGUGUAACAAAAUCGGUUUUAGUCAAUAGUGUUGAAUUUCGACCAAAGCUAUUUGUUAUUUUGGAAAAAGCUUCAUCAAGGAACGAUAGCUUACAUCUUUUCGGGAGAAUAGAAGAAAUCAUUGUAACAGAGGAAAAAAAUACAUUUUUCCAGAUAAUAGCUGAAUUCGAACUCAUGUCUCCAGAAAAAUGUGAUGAUUUCUUGUCUAAAUUUGGCCCAUAUUACGUUCCACGUAUUUUUGAAUAUACAAGAAUAUGCAAUUAUGAUUUAUGGAAAAAACAUAAUGCUAUAACCGACGAUGUUUUAAAAGCUUUACUUCUGUUGAUAACAUUAUUGCCAGUAAGCAAUGCUGUCAAAAAUAAAUCAAAGAAAAAAGUUGAUAAGCCAAUGGAUAGUUCCCAGAAAAAGAAAGUUAAAAUGAUCGAGCCCUAUCGAUUCAUGAUCGAAAACAUAAAUGCUGGAGCUAAUGUUCAAGAAUUCGUAAAAUCGAAACGAUCUGAAUGCACAUCGACCAUUCAACCGUACAUCAUUCAAGUUGAUGACGAGACACCCCACUUUUAUGUUAUUGCUGACAAUGCUAUACUUACGUGUAAUAAUCGAAACGAUUUUACUGCGGCCUUUGAUUUGAUGUUUAAAAUUUAUUUCAUAUUUAAUAUUCAGUAUCCAGUGUCUUUACAAAAUGUCUAUACGUUUAUAGAGUCGUACGUAUAUCGCUUAACAGAAAAAAAGUCAAUUUCUAUUGUGGCAUCAUUAUAUGUCAAUUUAAAAAAUAUGAAUUUGACUCACGAUAGCAAUAGUUCUGAUAGUGACGAAUAAAAUUGCUAUUUCUUACGGAUAUUAAUUUUUUAUUACUCCAUCAGAAUUUGUAAAAAUCAUUAAAUAAAUUGAUUAUGAAUUC
Nasonia vitripennis (jewel wasp) is the source of this 4902-nucleotide RNA transcript. RefSeq lists it as uncharacterized. The record is from RefSeq and is a predicted model, not a curated record. The transcript has 4 exons. NCBI's taxonomy places the organism in Eukaryota, Metazoa, Arthropoda, Insecta, Hymenoptera, Pteromalidae.